GAAUAAAGUAGGCCUUCUAUCACAGGGAUCAUAGCUAUUCAGCAUCAUGAUCAGUUCAGCUAUCGCUGCCAUUCUAGUGAGCGACGACAUCAUACUUCAAAUUUUGCUGGUACACGAUCGUUUUCUGUGACACCAAUACCACCCUGGACACUGGAGGGGGGUUUUUCUGUGAAGCACGCAUGCACAGCUCUGAGUUUGCAACUUCCACUGGAGAAUAUGUUGAAGAUCCGAUUACUUUGCAACGUACCUUUCCUGGGAAUUUUGUGUGCUGUUUCUGUGUGCAGCUCUGGCGAAUAUGACAGAAAUGUGGCACAAACGACGACGCACCGGGGUGGUAACGUUACCUUCCGAUGUCCUUUCCCUUUCCAUCUCAAACAUUCGGCGGUAUUCGCUUACUGGUGGAAAGACGGUAACGAGACUUUCCUGCAAGCAAACGGCAGAAAAAGUCUCGAUGUGAGGAGAGGCGGCGCCUACCUUCAUGUUCUGAAUGUGACUGUUGCAGAUGUUGGAAUAUAUUACUGUGUCAUCAAAUAUCAUCAUCAAACAGUUGUGAAAGGAACCGGAUUCCGACUUCUUGUAUAUACUGCUCCUGUACCCCUGAAGAUUGUCUCUACAUCAUUCCAAAAGUCUUCAUCUACCUUUUUGAGACUCCAGUGUCAAACGGCUAAGUUUCACCCUAAGGAAUUCAAUGUUACCUGGCAUAAAAACGGCACUAGAAUUCUGACAGGAAUUACAACUGUACAGCGGGAAAUGGCAAACGGACUGUAUGAAGUCAUCAGUUCCAUAGAAGAGGCACAGCCAAUUGAGCAUGGCACAGUUUACACCUGUCAAGUCUAUCACAUUUCUAUCACUGCUCCAGGAAAUUGCAGUUACAUUGUCGACAACGAUUGCACUGAUUCCCAUAUAGUCCCACUGGGCACAAACUUCCAAUCAGAAAAAAGUCCCUACAACCCUCACACUCUGCUUCCAGCCGUUCAGGCAAUUGUGGAUCCGGCCUGA
Molecule: non-coding RNA, 999 nt
Organism: Stegostoma tigrinum
Lineage: Eukaryota; Metazoa; Chordata; Chondrichthyes; Orectolobiformes; Stegostomatidae
Source: the annotation of a RefSeq genome assembly